Molecule: unclassified non-coding RNA, 337 nt
Filed under: soil metagenome
Description: partial contains 5.8S ribosomal RNA, internal transcribed spacer 2, and large subunit ribosomal RNA
Rfam family: 5.8S ribosomal RNA (bases 1-120)
Source: RNAcentral
GAUGAAGAACGUAGCGAAAUGCGAUAAGUAAUGUGAAUUGCAGAAUUCAGUGAAUCAUCGAAUCUUUGAACGCACAUUGCGCCCCUUGGUAUUCCAUGGGGCAUGCCUGUUCGAGCGUCAUUUGUACCCUCAAGCUUUGCUUGGUGUUGGGUGUUUGUCCCGCGUUGCGCGUGGACUCGCCUUAAAGCGAUUGGCAGCCGGCAUAUUGGCCUUGGAGCGCAGCACAUUUUGCGCUUCUAGUCAUGAAUGUUGGCGUCCAUUAAGCCUAUACAUUUGCUCUUGACCUCGGAUCAGGUAGGGAUACCCGCUGAACUUAAGCAUAUCAAUAAGCGGAGGA